CAAGCCGCCGCGGGAAUACGGAGGGUGCAAGCGAUAAUCGGAAUUACUGGGCGUAAAGCGCACGCAGGCGGUCUGUCAAGUCAGAUGUGAAAUCCCCGGGCUUAACCUGGGAACUGCAUUUGAAACUGGCAGGCUAGAGUCUUGUAGAGGGGGGUAGAAUUCCAGGUGUAGCGGUGAAAUGCGUAGAGAUCUGGAGGAAUACCGGUGGCGAAGGCGGCCCCCUGGACAAAGACUGACGCUCAGGUGCGAAAGCGUGGGGAGCAAACAGGAUUAGAUACCCCAGUAGUCCCUGUCUCUUAUA
Molecule: ribosomal RNA, 301 nt
Filed under: uncultured bacterium
Lineage: Bacteria
Description: partial 16S ribosomal RNA
Rfam family: Bacterial small subunit ribosomal RNA
Source: RNAcentral